This 253-nucleotide ribosomal RNA is filed under the name uncultured bacterium. RNAcentral describes it as "partial 16S ribosomal RNA". It matches the Rfam family "Bacterial small subunit ribosomal RNA", at positions 524 to 776 of the family's 1533-position model. The record is from RNAcentral.
GACAGAGGGGGCAAGCGUUGUCCGGAUUGACUGGGCGUACAGCGCGCGCAGGCGGGGGGCAAGGUGCCGUGUGACAGCCGGACGCUUAACGUCCGCGGGCCACGGUAGACCGGUCGCCUAGAGGCAGGGAGAGGGCAGUGGAAUACCCGGUGGAGCGGUGAAAUGCGUAGAGAUCGGGUGGAACACCAGCGGCGAAGGCGGCUGCCUGGCCCUGGCCUGACGCUGAGGCGCGAGAGCGUGGGGAGCGAACCGG